AGAGUUUGAUCCUGGCUCAGGAUGAACGCUGGCGGCGUGCUUAACACAUGCAAGUCGAACGAUCCUUCGGGAUAGUGGCGGACGGGUGAGUAACGCGUGGGAAUCUGCCCUCAGGAGGGGGAUAACGGCUGGAAACGGCCGCUAAUACCCCAUAUGCCGAGAGGUGAAAUGAAUUUCGCCUGAGGAUGAGCCCGCGUCUGAUUAGCUAGUUGGUGGGGUAAAGGCCUACCAAGGCAACGAUCAGUAGCUGGUCUGAGAGGAUGAUCAGCCACACUGGGACUGAGACACGGCCCAGACUCCUACGGGAGGCAGCAGUGGGGAAUUUUCCGCAAUGGGCGAAAGCCUGACGGAGCAACGCCGCGUGAGGGAUGAAGGCCUCUGGGCUGUAAACCUCUUUUCUCAAGGAAGAAGACCUGACGGUACUUGAGGAAUAAGCCACGGCUAAUUCCGUGCCAGCAGCCGCGGUAAUACGGGAGUGGCAAGCGUUAUCCGGAAUUAUUGGGCGUAAAGCGUCCGCAGGCGGCCUUGUAAGUCUGUUGUUAAAGCGUGGAGCUCAACUCCAUUUAAGCAAUGGAAACUACAAGGCUGGAGUGUGGUAGGGGCAGAGGGAAUUCCCGGUGUAGCGGUGAAAUGCGUAGAUAUCGGGAAGAACACCAGUGGCGAAGGCGCUCUGCUGGGCCAUAACUGACGCUCAUGGACGAAAGCCAGGGGAGCGAAAGGGAUUAGAUACCCCUGUAGUCCUGGCCGUAAACGAUGAACACUAGGUGUCGGGGGAAUCGACCCCCUCGGUGUCGUAGCCAACGCGUUAAGUGUUCCGCCUGGGGAGUACGCACGCAAGUGUGAAACUCAAAGGAAUUGACGGGGGCCCGCACAAGCGGUGGAGUAUGUGGUUUAAUUCGAUGCAACGCGAAGAACCUUACCAGGGUUUGACAUCCUGCGAACCCCUGAGAAAUCGGGGGGUGCCUUCGGGAGCGCAGAGACAGGUGGUGCAUGGCUGUCGUCAGCUCGUGUCGUGAGAUGUUGGGUUAAGUCCCGCAACGAGCGCAACCCACGUCUUUAGUUGCCAGCAUUCAGUUGGGCACUCUAGAGAGACCGCCGGUGAUAAACCGGAGGAAGGUGUGGAUGACGUCAAGUCAUCAUGCCCCUUACAUCCUGGGCUACACACGUACUACAAUGCUACGGACAAAGGGCAGCAAGCUCGCGAGAGUUAGCAAAUCCCAUAAACCGUGGCUCAGUUCAGAUCGUAGGCUGCAACUCGCCUACGUGAAGGAGGAAUCGCUAGUAAUCGCAGGUCAGCAUACUGCGGUGAAUACGUUCCCGGGCCUUGUACACACCGCCCGUCACACCAUGGAAGUUGGCCAUGCCCGAAGUCGUUACUCCAACCCUUGUGGAGGAGGACGCCGAAGGUGGGGCUGAUGACUGGGGUGAAGUCGAAACAAGGUA
Molecule: ribosomal RNA, 1443 nt
Filed under: metagenome
Description: bacterial SSU rRNA
Rfam family: Bacterial small subunit ribosomal RNA
Source: RNAcentral